This 253-nucleotide ribosomal RNA is filed under the name uncultured bacterium. RNAcentral describes it as "partial 16S ribosomal RNA". It matches the Rfam family "Bacterial small subunit ribosomal RNA", at positions 524 to 776 of the family's 1533-position model. The record is from RNAcentral.
UACGUAGGGUCCGAGCGUUGUCCGGAGUUACUGGGCGUAAAGGACGCGCAGGUGGCGGUGUUGGCCCGGCGUGAAAGCCCCCGGCUCAACCGGGGAGGGUCGUCGGGGACCGCACCGCUUGAGGGCGGUAGGGGCUGGUGGAAUGCCUGGUGUAGUGGUGAAAUGCGUAGAGAUCAGGCGGAACACCCGUAGCGAAGGCGGCCAGCUGGGCCGUCCCUGACACUGAGGCGCGAAGGCGUGGGGAGCGAACGGG